This 471-nucleotide ribosomal RNA is filed under the name uncultured bacterium. Its description in RNAcentral is "bacterial SSU rRNA". It matches the Rfam family "Bacterial small subunit ribosomal RNA", at positions 335 to 798 of the family's 1533-position model. The record is from RNAcentral.
ACUCCUACGGGAGGCAGCAGUGGGGAAUAUUGCACAAUGGGCGCAAGCCUGAUGCAGCCAUGCCGCGUGUAUGAAGAAGGCCUUCGGGUUGUAAAGUACUUUCAGCAGUGAGGAAGGUGGAUAUGUUAAUAGCAUAUUCAUUUGACGUUAGCUGCAGAAGAAGCACCGGCUAACUCCGUGCCAGCAGCCGCGGUAAUACGGAGGGUGCGAGCGUUAAUCGGAAUUACUGGGCGUAAAGCGCAUGCAGGUGGUUUGUUAAGUCAGAUGUGAAAGCCCGGGGCUCAACCUCGGAAUUGCAUUUGAAACUGGCAAACUAGAGUACUGUAGAGGGGGGUAGAAGUUUCAGGUGUAGCGGUGAAAUGCGUAGAGAUCUGAAGGAAUACCGGUGGCGAAGGCGGCCCCUGGACAGAUACUGACACUCAGAUGCGAAAGCGUGGGGAGCAAACAGGAUUAGAUACCCUGGUAGGCUCU